AACAAACGCUGGCGGCAUGCCUAACACAUGCAAGUCGAACGAAGCCUUCGGGCUUAGUGGCGCACGGGUGCGUAACGCGUGGGAAUCUGCCCUUUGGUUCGGAAUAACAGUUGGAAACGACUGCUAAUACCGGAUGAUGACGAAAGUCCAAAGAUUUAUCGCCAGAGGAUGAGCCCGCGUAGGAUUAGCUAGUUGGUGUGGUAAAGGCGCACCAAGGCGACGAUCUUUAGCUGGUCUGAGAGGAUGAUCAGCCACACUGGGACUGAGACACGGCCCAGACUCCUGCGGGAGGCAGCAGUGGGGAAUAUUGGACAAUGGCCGAAAGCCUGAUCCAGCAAUGCCGCGUGAGUGAUGAAGGCCCUAGGGUUGUAAAGCUCUUUUACCCGGGAUGAUAAUGACAGUACCGGGAGAAUAAGCCCCGGCUAACUCCGUGCCAGCCGCCGCCGUAA
RNAcentral lists this ribosomal RNA (449 nucleotides) under uncultured bacterium. RNAcentral describes it as "partial 16S ribosomal RNA". It matches the Rfam family "Bacterial small subunit ribosomal RNA", at positions 29 to 523 of the family's 1533-position model. The record is from RNAcentral.